AUUGAACGCUGGCGGCAGGCUUAACACAUGCAAGUCGAGCGGAGAUGAGGUGCUUGCACCUUAUCUUAGCGGCGGACGGGUGAGUAAUGCUUAGGAAUCUGCCUAUUAGUGGGGGACAACAUUCCGAAAGGAAUGCUAAUACCGCAUACGUCCUACGGGAGAAAGCAGGGGAUCUUCGGACCUUGCGCUAAUAGAUGAGCCUAAGUCGGAUUAGCUAGUUGGUGGGGUAAAGGCCUACCAAGGCGACGAUCUGUAGCGGGUCUGAGAGGAUGAUCCGCCACACUGGGACUGAGACACGGCCCAGACUCGUACGGGAUGUAGCAGUGGGGAACAUUGGACAAUGGGGGGAACCCUGAUCCAGCCAUGCCGCGUGUGUGAAGAAGGCCUUAUGGUUGUAAAGCACUUUAAGCGAGGAGGAGGCUACUGAGACUAAUACUCUUGGAUAGUGGACGUUACUCGCAGAAUAAGCACCGGCUAACUCUGUGCCAGCAGCCGCCGUAA
This 501-nucleotide ribosomal RNA is filed under the name uncultured bacterium. RNAcentral describes it as "partial 16S ribosomal RNA". It matches the Rfam family "Bacterial small subunit ribosomal RNA", at positions 30 to 523 of the family's 1533-position model. The record is from RNAcentral.